RNAcentral lists this ribosomal RNA (429 nucleotides) under Bacteroidota bacterium. Its description in RNAcentral is "Bacteroidetes bacterium partial 16S ribosomal RNA". It matches the Rfam family "Bacterial small subunit ribosomal RNA", at positions 355 to 776 of the family's 1533-position model. The record is from RNAcentral. Lineage: Bacteria; Pseudomonadati; Bacteroidota.
UAGGGAAUCUUCCGCAAUGGGCGAAAGCUUGACGGAGCAACGCCGCGUGAGUGAUGAAGGUCUUCGGAUCGUAAAACUCUGUUAUUAGGGAAGAACAAAUGUGUAAGUAACUAUGCACGUCUUGACGGUACCUAAUCAGAAAGCCACGGCUAACUACGUGCCAGCAGCCGCGGUAAUACGUAGGUGGCAAGCGUUAUCCGGAAUUAUUGGGCGUAAAGCGCGCGUAGGCGGUUUUUUAAGUCUGAUGUGAAAGCCCACGGCUCAACCGUGGAGGGUCAUUGGAAACUGGAAAACUUGAGUGCAGAAGGGGAGAGUGGAAUUCCAUGUGUAGCGGUGAAAUGCGUAGAUAUAUGGGGGAACACCGGUUGCGAAAGCGGCUCUCUGGUCUGUAACUGACGCUGAGGCUCGAAAGCGUGGGGAGCGAACAGG